CCUACGGGGGUCAGCAGUGGGGAAUAUUGGACAAUGGGGGCAACCCUGAUCCAGCCAUGCCGCGUGUGUGAAGAAGGCCCUCGGGUUGUAAAGCACUUUCAGUGAGGAAGAACGCCUGGUGGUUAAUACCCAUCAGGAAAGACAUCACUCACAGAAGAAGCACCGGCUAACUCCGUGCCAGCAGCCGCGGUAAUACGGAGGGUGCGAGCGUUAAUCGGAAUUACUGGGCGUAAAGCGCGCGUAGGUGGCUUGAUAAGCCGGUUGUGAAAGCCCCGGGCUCAACCUGGGAACGGCAUCCGGAACUGUCAAGCUAGAGUGCAGGAGAGGAAGGUAGAAUUCCCGGUGUAGCGGUGAAAUGCGUAGAGAUCGGGAGGAAUACCAGUGGCGAAGGCGGCCUUCUGGACUGACACUGACACUGAGGUGCGAAAGCGUGGGUAGCAAACAGGAUUAGAUACCCGUGUAGUC
This 465-nucleotide ribosomal RNA is filed under the name Vreelandella stevensii. RNAcentral describes it as "partial 16S ribosomal RNA". It matches the Rfam family "Bacterial small subunit ribosomal RNA", at positions 338 to 795 of the family's 1533-position model. Lineage: Bacteria; Pseudomonadati; Pseudomonadota; Gammaproteobacteria; Oceanospirillales; Halomonadaceae. The record is from RNAcentral.